GUGCUCCCUUCGACAGCACAUAAAAUUGGAAUGGUACAGAGAUUAGCAUGGCCCCUGCACAAGGAUGACACACAAAUUCGUGAAGCGUUCCAUAUAUUC
Small nuclear RNA from Myotis lucifugus (little brown bat), 99 nucleotides. NCBI's taxonomy places the organism in Eukaryota, Metazoa, Chordata, Mammalia, Chiroptera, Vespertilionidae. The record is from Ensembl.